CGUAGGACGAGGCUUAUAGCACAGGUCCUAGACCUUUCUAGGUUCUACCAACCUGAAACAUUGGUAUUAUUCUACUAUUGGCAGUAAUAGCAACAGCAUAUACAGGUUACAUCCUAUCAUGAGGACAAAUAUCUUUGUGAGGGACAACAGUAAUCACAAACCUAUGAUCAGCUCCCCAUGCACUGGUACUAACUUGGUGGAAUGAAUCUGGGACAGAUUUUCAGUUGACAAACCCCCCUUCCAUGAUUCAUCACCUUCCACUUCAUUUUCCCUUUUAUCAUCGCUGCCCUAGUAGCUGUUCACCUUCUAUUUCUCCAUGAAACAGGAUCCAACAAACCCUCAGGAAUCUCAUCAGAUUCUGCAAAAUCGCAUUUCAUCCAUAGUACACAAGCAAAGAUGUCUGAGGCUUAACUCUCCUUCUACUGUGAUUACUCCUCCGAGUCCUGUUUUCACCCUGACCUAUCAGGAGACCCAGACAGCUACACCCCCAGCAAAUCCCCUUAACACACCACCCAACAUUUAACCAACGUUAAACCAGAAUGAUAUUUUCUAUUUUCCUAUGCGA
This 565-nucleotide long non-coding RNA is filed under the name Homo sapiens (human). Its description in RNAcentral is "non-protein coding lnc-MTOR-6:1". The record is from RNAcentral. Lineage: Eukaryota; Metazoa; Chordata; Mammalia; Primates; Hominidae.